Molecule: ribosomal RNA, 329 nt
Filed under: uncultured eukaryote
Lineage: Eukaryota
Description: partial 18S ribosomal RNA
Rfam family: Eukaryotic small subunit ribosomal RNA
Source: RNAcentral
CCCUUAGAUGUUCUGGGCCGCACGCGCGCUACACUGUUUGAUUCAGCGAGUCUUAACCUUGACCGAAAGGUUUGGGUAAUCUUCUAAAGUCAAACGUGAUGGGGAUCGAUCGUUGCAAUUAUUGAUCGUGAACGAGGAAUUCCUAGUAAAUGCAAGUCAUCAGCUUGCGUUGAUUACGUCCCUGCCCUUUGUACACACCGCCCGUCGCUACUACCGAUUGAAUGGUUUAGUGAGAUCUCCGGAUUGGCUCUGUAGGUCCCGCAAGGGAUUUAUUAGUAGCCAAGAAGCUGCUCAAACUUGAUCAUUUAGAGGAAGUAAAAGUCGUAACA